CACGGGGGUUGCGAGCGUUGUCCGGAAUUACUAGGCGUAAAGGGCACGUAGGCGGACUGGAAAGUCAGAGGUGAAAUCCCAGGGCUCAACCUUGGAACUGCCUUUGAAACUCCCGGUCUUGAGGUCGAGAGAGGUGAGUGGAAUUCCGAGUGUAGAGGUGAAAUUCGUAGAUAUUCGGAGGAACACCAGUGGCGAAGGCGGCUCACUGGCUCGAUACUGACGCUGAGGUGCGAAAGCGUGGUGAGCAAACAGGAUUAGAUACCCUGGUAGUCCACGCCGUAAACGAUGAAUGCCAGUCGUCGGGCAGCAUGCUGUUCGGUGACACACCUAACGGAUUAAGCAUUCCGCCUGGGGAGUACGGCCGCAAGGUUAAA
This 374-nucleotide ribosomal RNA is filed under the name uncultured bacterium. Its description in RNAcentral is "bacterial SSU rRNA". It matches the Rfam family "Bacterial small subunit ribosomal RNA", at positions 524 to 898 of the family's 1533-position model. The record is from RNAcentral.